Molecule: long non-coding RNA, 1851 nt
Organism: Rhododendron vialii
Lineage: Eukaryota; Viridiplantae; Streptophyta; Magnoliopsida; Ericales; Ericaceae
Exons: 3
Source: RefSeq, a predicted model, not a curated record
UGCUUCUAAGAUUUUCUAAGAUCUAAGAUAUAGUAAUAUACUGCAAUUUAUGAGUCUGUCGAAAGUGUAUUACGUCUAGUUUGGGACUAUUUUUUCCCUCCCACACUGCUUAAUAUGUUCUAUCUAUGGUCUUUCCCCAAAUACCACUAUUCUGCAACUGAUUUGUGCUUGCUGCUUUGAAUUUGUUGUUCUUCCAAAUGUAUAAUAUGUGGUGCUUUCCAAAGAAAAUAUUACUACUUCUAUAUGGAAUAUAUAGAUGUCUUCUAAUGGUUGUUUGUGGAUAUUCUUUGACGUAUGCUAAAAAUGGUUGUUUGUGGAUAUUCUUUAAGGUAUGCUAAAAAGUUGUUAUUUGCUUUUAUGAAGCCUGAGGAGGAUUUGAGACCUGCCCAUGGUGAUGAAUCCAAUUUUUUACUUGUAGGUAAUACUUCAUCUCUAGAACCAAAAGAUAUUUCUUGAUCUUUGUUAAACCUUUGUAGAUAUGCACAUCAACUGUUUGAUAAUUGUUUUAGUAUGGAUGAACUCAUUGUAUUUUAAGUGAUGAAUUCUAUUGAAGUUGAUCUUUCUUUAGCAAUUUUGUUAUGUAAACUCCACUCAUUUAGGCCCUGAAGAUUACAUUAACGAAUUCCUGGAAUUGCAUUUGGGUGGGUCAGACUUGCUAGUUAGUAGUUACUUCCAUAAUCCUAGUCUAUUCUAUUCCCCAAUGGCAUACCCAUUAAAUGAAAGCACUUACACCAAUACAGAAGUAAAAUAUUAGUCUAGCAUUCACCUUUUUUUUUAGGGGCUGUGGCUUGACCAAUUCGAAUUAAUCAAAUUGAGCAAGUCUUACAUAUGUACAAUGAUUAAGAUUUGCAUUUCAAUAAGUUGUUGCUCAGUUUCUUUAGAUGCAAAGAUUUUUUUUUUUUUAGCUUCACAAACUAGAUGCAAAAGAACAAACUUCAAAAUUAAUGCUCUUGAGUCAUUUCCACAAUUACAGUGUUCCAUGCUGGAGGUCAUGUAAGAGGAACUUGUCUCUUUUUUUUCAUAUGUGCAAUGCUCUACAAAUUUCCACAAUUAUAGUGUCCUCGAGUAUUUGUUUGCGAACUCCUCUGAACAUAUUACUACUGAUUUUGUUUGAUGAUGUCUUUUGAUCCCAGACUGCGAAGCUUUAGAAUUUGGUUUCUCAUGAUCAUCUAACUCUAUUUUUCUUCUUAUUAUUAUUAUCCAAUUUGCCUUCCAACUUUUUGACAAUCAUCAUGACUUACCUUACCGAAUCAACAGGUUGAUUCUCAUCAUCAGUGCAAGGUAAGUUGCACAAUUUCUUCGUCUCUCAUUUUUUCUUUUUUUUUUCCCAUACAUUAAUAUACUCUUUGUGCUCUAAUUGGGAUAUCCCAGUCGGGAUCUAUGGCUGCUGAACUUGCCAUGUGGAAGCAAGCUGAGGCAAGUCAAGAUGCUCGCAAGAUUAUAAGAGUCACAAACAAGAAGAGAAGAACAUCGCAAAAUAGUUCAAAUUGAGUUUCUUUGGGGCAUAUUUGUGUCUGUUUUUGCUGCUUUCACUGUUUAUCGAAGUUCAAGACGGUGUAGAAUCAAGUGGCUACUUGACAUAAUGUGAUGUUUGUCUACUAUGGUGGUACCAAGACCUAAUGUUAUGUUCAUCUAUCGUGGAUUUUUUGUAUUUUGGAAAAUAUUUGGUUGAAUGUAGUAGAGAUAUUGAAAGACAACAAUGGGUUAUGGCAGGAUGUCUUUUAACAUUAGUUGUGUUAUGAGGCAUUUAAUACUUUGAGAGCUUAUGUUUUAGAUGUGGUUGAGAAGUUGUAUGCUGUAAACUAGUUAAUUGGAUGCGAAAAAUGGUGCCAUAGGGCAAAAUUUUCUAAA